CUGGAUGCAGUACUCCAGAUGGGGUCUCACUAGAGCAGAUUAGAGGGCAGAAUCACCUCCCUCAACCUGCUAGUCACACUUGAUGCAACGCAGUAUACAAUUCUCCUUCUGGGCUGCAAGUCCACAUUGCUGGCUCACGUUGAGUCUUUCAUCAAUCAACACCCCCAAAUCCAUCCCUUUGUCAUGUUUAAGAAAUCUUUAUCUGCAAAACUGCCUGUACUGCCUUUUGUUUUAGAGCAUGCUUCUCCCAUGUUCAGUUCUGCUUGUUUCAGAUUUUGGUUAAACAUCCUUGUCUUUUUACAGCUGUUAACCAUAGUCCAGAUCUGUUGUAUGAAAUGCUGUCACAUUGCCAUAGUUUGUUGAUUAUCCAGAGCUUAGCAAGAGUGGACAAGUUUCAAACUUAAAUCUCCUGCUUAUUCCUUGGAACUUUAUUUUUCUUCAGUUUACCUGAUUUACGCUACCCCCCCUACCCUGUUUUCAUUCAAGUAAUCUGUCCUAAGUGUCACAGAUCAUAAGCAAAGACCAUAAGCAAAUACUCUCCUGAAAACAGGCCACUGUUUUAGGAGAGAUGUGCAAAUGAGUACUUUGCAUACACUUCAAAUAGUACCGUGUCUUAGGCUUUUAUGGCAUAGCACAAGACUUCUACAGAUUUUGUGUUUUUAUAAGAUAAUCUCAUGCUAUUUUAUGAUGCAGUGCAGCACUUACGUGUCAGAGAACAGAAAACUUGAAGGGUUUUGGAACUCAUAAAUAAGAGUGGGUAGGUGGUUUCUAAUCCACUGUGGAGCUGCAGCAAAACACAGCAGUGUUAAGCACUAGUAACGUGCUUUCAUGUGAGGGGUGAAACUCAUGCAUGGUGAAAGUGGGAAGUCUAGCUCAGAAAAUACAGGAGAUGAGAAGAACCUCAAUGUCAGAGAAGCAGGCUUCAUGGUUAUGCAUUACCAAAUGGUACAUUUAACAGAAGAAGAUGUGUGCUGUAAGGGCUGAGGACUCAGCAGUUUAUUUGAGUAUUGGUUCCUUGGAGGACUUUCAGAUCUCUGAAGUUCGUAUUUUCAAGCUUUACGGUGUAUGUGAUCUAAUAGAAAUUCCCCUGGCAUCUUCUGUAGGUCUCUGAUAUUUCAGGUUUGAUGAUGAAAGUAGUCAGCUAAAUGGUUGGUUCUAAAUAUAGGAAGCCUUUUAAGUGAGUUCACAGAAAGAAUUAACCUUUUCCCCUCCUCACACACCUCCUGGCAAUUUGAAUAAUUGAUUUUAGAUAGGUAAUGAAGUUUAAUAACAGUAUGAUGAAUACACUUAAGUUCUGCAGCUUAUUUCACAUGCUCCUGAAAACAGAUGCUUCAUAAGAGACAGACCAUUUUUCUGAUAAUUUGUGUAGACAUAGAGCUUGGUUUACUUCUUUACUGUUUAACAUCUUCUUCUUGUCUUUACUCACUAGUUCUACAUCAAGGUAAUCCAACAGUUUAUAGUGAAUCAUUCCUGACCCUUCCUGAUUUGACUAUAUUUCAUAAUGAGAACCAUGGUAAAUAGUGUGUGGCCUCUUAAAAUUUGUCACUUUUCUUCAAGCCUUCAGUUUUUCUAACUGCCCACAGAAGCCUCUGAAUACAGAUUGUAACACAGUGUCUCUAGCAGGAACUGAAGAGAGCGUGAGUAUACACAGAUAUUCCCUGUAUCAAGAUUUGUCUUCAUGUGAUUUUCUACCAUAUUCCGAGCUAACCUGGAAAAAGCAAAUUAGGAAAAAUGAUUAUUAGUUUUGUGGAAGAGUUACUUACAGGCUGUUAGUUUGGUAUUUGGUCUACUGUACUCAAGUGUGAUAACGGAUAAUCCAUUUGCUAAAUUAGAAUAAGGUUUUACUACUAGAACUUCUUUUCAGAAAAUUUGUAAACAGAAGCUAAGAAGUCAAAAGACAAUGAAAGCAAUCAAUAAUAAAAGAUAUAUACACAUCUCCUGCUUUUAAAAUGCAUGAGCAUAAAUGUGUAGAUGGAAACACUCUAUCUGUUAGAACUACCCAUCACUAAAGAAAUUAACAUUUUAAUAUAAGAAUUUGCAAUGCAGGUUAUGAAAUCUUACUUUGUGGAUCUUUAUAGCUGGUUAUUGUAUAUAAGUAUCUGCAACUGGGUGAGUUGCAUCAGUUAUACAGACUACAGAUUGAGAUGUUACCUCUCUCUGACCUGAAGCUCUUCAUUUUAGACACACAUAUAUAUGCUUCAUGUACGAUAUAUGCUUCAUGUAUGAUGAUGCAUGUGUGCUUUGCGUUUCAGUAAACCAAACACAUAAUACAUGAUCCAGAAAUGGCUGAAUUGGGGAAAUAACUACAUUGAUGUGAACAUCUGUUUUUGAUAUAAAAAUGUUGAGGCAUUUUUGGAAGGAAAAGCUUUUCCUUUGUCUUUUGAUACUCUGCACAAUUUUCAUUUCAUUCAUCAGACCAAUAAAUCUCUGCUGAUUUGCUCUAGUGAGUGAAAAAAACUGUACAUCAGUGAAUUUUGUGUGCUAGCAAGUAAACCAUUCUACAAGAACAGCUUCUGUUUCAGGAAACAUGUUCUAUUUCUCGUUUUCAUCAGUGUUAGUGUACCUGUAAUUGUUUACGAUGCUUCAUAGCCUACUCGUCAAUGUUGUGUCCUAUGUCUGCAGAAAUAAUGAAACCAUAACAAUGAGAAGCUUGACUACAGAAUAUGCUCUAUCAUUGAAAGGCAAUCCCUGUAAGAGUGCUUAUGUUUCCAGCACCAAUGGAGAACACAGACUUGUCUCCUUUUCCUGGAAAGCAAGAGAUCAGGCUGGGAUGCAGACAUAAAACUCCUCUACACCAGUCCUCUCCAGAAAGCAAUUUGGUUUUCUUUUAUUGCUCUACACAUUCCAUAAGAAAGUUGAGUUUGAACAUGCUUUUUGCUGUGUCUGCGCGUUGAUUUUGUAUUUAUUUUAAUAGCUCUGCCUGGUGGUUUUUGCCUGAAUCCAACUAAUGCAUUUGUAAGGUGCUAGCUAGUAUAAUAAAUAAAUAGAUGGCAACCAGCAGAGUGUUGCUGUAAGAGAAGAGAUGAGGCUUGCUAUUUCUGCAAGCAGCUCUUAUUUGUUACUUCAGACCAUAAAUUGAGCAUAGGAAUUAACAUAAAAGAUCAGUUCAGCCUUUGCAAUACUCUUGUAUUCUGCCUUCUUACACUCCUGUCACCCUGGGCACUUCAUCCACAAUCCAAAAUGUCUGUGUUGGAGAUAAUGUGAUGUGAGUUUUGGUGUUUAUUGUUGUUUUACUUUGUUUUUUCUCUUAACCUCAGUGAUCAAGGUUGACCAAUUACCUGGAAAAAAAAUAAAAAUGUUUCAUGGCUCAUCAA
Molecule: non-coding RNA, 3314 nt
Organism: Meleagris gallopavo (turkey)
Lineage: Eukaryota; Metazoa; Chordata; Aves; Galliformes; Phasianidae
Source: RefSeq, a predicted model, not a curated record